UACGUAGGGGGCAAGCGUUGUCCGGAAUCAUUGGGCGUAAAGCGCGUGUAGGCGGCCAGAAAAGUCCGCUGUGAAAACUCGAGGCUCAACUUCGAGCUGUCGGUGGAAACUUUCUGGCUAGAGUCCGGAAGAGGAGAAUGGAAUUCCUGGUGUAGCGGUGAAAUGCGCAGAUAUCAGGAAGAACACCCGUGGCGAAGGCGGUUCUCUGGUCCAUUACUGACGCUGAGGUGCGAAAGCGUGGGGAGCAAACAGG
This 253-nucleotide ribosomal RNA is filed under the name uncultured bacterium. Its description in RNAcentral is "partial 16S ribosomal RNA". It matches the Rfam family "Bacterial small subunit ribosomal RNA", at positions 524 to 776 of the family's 1533-position model. The record is from RNAcentral.